UGGCUCAGAUUGAACGCUGGCGGCAGGCCUAACACAUGCAAGUCGAGCGGAUGACGAGAGCUUGCUCUCUGAUUCAGCGGCGGACGGGUGAGUAAUGCCUAGGAAUCUGCCUGGUAGUGGGGGACAACGUCUCGAAAGGGACGCUAAUACCGCAUACGUCCUACGGGAGAAAGCAGGGGACCUUCGGGCCUUGCGCUAUCAGAUGAGCCUAGGUCGGAUUAGCUAGUUGGUGAGGUAAUGGCUCACCAAGGCGACGAUCCGUAACUGGUCUGAGAGGAUGAUCAGUCACACUGGAACUGAGACACGGUCCAGACUCCUACGGGAGGCAGCAGUGGGGAAUAUUGGACAAUGGGCGAAAGCCUGAUCCAGCCAUGCCGCGUGUGUGAAGAAGGUCUUCGGAUUGUAAAGCACUUUAAGUUGGGAGGAAGGGUUGUAGAUUAAUACUCUGCAAUUUUGACGUUACCGACAGAAUAAGCACCGGCUAACUCUGUGCCAGCAGCCGCGGUAAUACAGAGGGUGCAAGCGUUAAUCGGAAUUACUGGGCGUAAAGCGCGCGUAGGUGGUUUGUUAAGUUGGAUGUGAAAGCCCCGGGCUCAACCUGGGAACUGCAUUCAAAACUGACAAGCUAGAGUAUGGUAGAGGGUGGUGGAAUUUCCUGUGUAGCGGUGAAAUGCGUAGAUAUAGGAAGGAACACCAGUGGCGAAGGCGACCACCUGGACUGAUACUGACACU
This 732-nucleotide ribosomal RNA is filed under the name Pseudomonas sp. 110623_PC_C1_C12. RNAcentral describes it as "bacterial SSU rRNA". It matches the Rfam family "Bacterial small subunit ribosomal RNA", at positions 20 to 747 of the family's 1533-position model. Lineage: Bacteria; Pseudomonadati; Pseudomonadota; Gammaproteobacteria; Pseudomonadales; Pseudomonadaceae. The record is from RNAcentral.